Molecule: ribosomal RNA, 295 nt
Filed under: Ascioplaga mimeta
Lineage: Eukaryota; Metazoa; Arthropoda; Insecta; Coleoptera; Cupedidae
Description: partial 28S ribosomal RNA
Source: RNAcentral
CCCUAGCGAAAGCCGAUGUCGAUGUACGGUGUGCCAAAAUAUUAAACCGAAGUCUCUCUCGUAGGCGAGAGCGCGCGGCGCGUAUACUCGUCCCAGCUAAAGCGGGUCCGUGUCUCUCUCUCUCUACUCUAUCUCCGCGUAUCAACGCGCGGAGUAUAUAGUUAAGCAGCAGAGAGCGCACACGACAGCGGCAGCAGAUAAUACGGAAGAGAAAACGCGCGCGUCCUCCGAAGGGGAGAGACGUUUGAACGAAAAAGUACACACCCGCCGGGCGAGAGGGAAUCCGGUUAUAGUU